This 560-nucleotide ribosomal RNA is filed under the name Pseudomonas sp. RNAcentral describes it as "bacterial SSU rRNA". It matches the Rfam family "Bacterial small subunit ribosomal RNA", at positions 137 to 692 of the family's 1533-position model. RNAcentral also lists the same sequence under 6 other names. Lineage: Bacteria; Pseudomonadati; Pseudomonadota; Gammaproteobacteria; Pseudomonadales; Pseudomonadaceae. The record is from RNAcentral.
UGGGGGAUAACGUUCGGAAACGGACGCUAAUACCGCAUACGUCCUACGGGAGAAAGCAGGGGACCUUCGGGCCUUGCGCUAUCAGAUGAGCCUAGGUCGGAUUAGCUAGUUGGUGAGGUAAUGGCUCACCAAGGCGACGAUCCGUAACUGGUCUGAGAGGAUGAUCAGUCACACUGGAACUGAGACACGGUCCAGACUCCUACGGGAGGCAGCAGUGGGGAAUAUUGGACAAUGGGCGAAAGCCUGAUCCAGCCAUGCCGCGUGUGUGAAGAAGGUCUUCGGAUUGUAAAGCACUUUAAGUUGGGAGGAAGGGCAGUAAAUUAAUACUUUGCUGUUUUGACGUUACCGACAGAAUAAGCACCGGCUAACUCUGUGCCAGCAGCCGCGGUAAUACAGAGGGUGCAAGCGUUAAUCGGAAUUACUGGGCGUAAAGCGCGCGUAGGUGGUUCGUUAAGUUGGAUGUGAAAUCCCCGGGCUCAACCUGGGAACUGCAUUCAAAACUGACGAGCUAGAGUAUGGUAGAGGGUGGUGGAAUUUCCUGUGUAGCGGUGAAAUGCGUA